AGUGGCGAACGGGUGAGUAACACGUAAGCAAUCUACCUUUAAGUUUGGGAUAACCUUGCCAACGCGGGGCUAAUACCGGAUGUGAUCAGCUUGGCGCAUGUCAGGCUGUUUAAAGGAGCAAUCCGCUUAAAGAUGAGCUUGCGGCCCAUUAGUUAGUUGGCGGGGUAACGGCCCACCAAGACCGCGAUGGGUAGCCGGCCUGAGAGGGUGGACGGCCACAUUGGGACUGAGAUACGGCCAAGACUCCUACGGAGGCAGCAGUAACGAAUUUGGCCCAAAGGACGAAGUCUGACGCAGCAACGCCGCGUGAGGGAUGCGGCCUUCGGGUGUAACUCUGUUGAAUGGGAAAAAAGGUAGCAAUAUUUGAUGGUACCAUCGAGUGAGCACCGGCUAACUACGUGCCAGCAGCCGCGGUAAUACGUAGGGUGCAAGCGUUGUUCGGAAUCACUGGGCGUAAAGAGAGCGUAGGCGGGAUCGUAAGUUAGGAGUUUAAUCCACGGGCUCAACCUGUGGUCGGCUUUUAAUACUGCGGUUCUUGAGUAUGGGAGAGGGCGAUGGAAUUCCAGGUGUAGCGGUGGAAUGCGUAGAUAUCUGGAAGAACACCAGUAGCGAAGGCGGUCGCCUGGCCCAAUACUGACGCUGAGGCUCGAAAGCUAGGGGAGCAAACAGGAUUAGAUACCCUGGUAGUCCUAGCCGUAAACGAUGAACACUAGUUGCUGGAGGAGUCAAUCUUUUCGGUGACGAAGCUAACGCAUUAAGUGUUCCGCCUGGGAAGUACGCUCGCAAGAGUGAAACUCAAAGGAAUUGACGGGGGCCCGCACAAGCGGUGGAGCAUGUGCUUUAAUUCGAUGCAACGCGAAGAACCUUACCUAGGCUUGACAUGGGGGUGAAAUUCUGUAGAAAUAUGGAGCCUUCCGCAAGGAACACCCUACACAGGUGCUGCAUGGUUGUCGUCAGCUCGUGUCGUGAGAUGUUAGGUUAAGUCUGCAACGAGCGCAACCCUCGUCCUUAGUUGCUAACAGGUUACGCUGAGAACUCUAGAGACUGCCCGGCUUAACCAGAGAGGUGGGAUGACGUCAAAUCCUCAUGCCCAUACGCUAAGGCUAGAAACGUGCUACAAUGCCUGGUACAACGAGCUGCAAGACAGUGAUGACAAGCUAAUCUCUUAAAACCAGUCUCAGUUCGGAUUGAAGUCUGCAAUUCGACUUCAUGAAGCUGGAAUCGCUAGUAAUCGCGGAUCAGCAUGCCGCGGUGAAUACGUUCCCGGGCCUUGUACACACCGCCCGUCAAGCCAUGAAAGAUGGCAGUACCCGAAGUCGCUUCUCUAACCGCAAGGAAGAGUGCGCCGAAGGUAAGGCUGUUGAUUGGGGCUAAGUCGUAACAAGGUAACC
This 1391-nucleotide ribosomal RNA is filed under the name uncultured microorganism. RNAcentral describes it as "16S ribosomal RNA". It matches the Rfam family "Bacterial small subunit ribosomal RNA". The record is from RNAcentral.